This 690-nucleotide long non-coding RNA is filed under the name Capra hircus (goat). RNAcentral's name for it is "lncRNA (ENSCHIG00000003640.1)". Lineage: Eukaryota; Metazoa; Chordata; Mammalia; Artiodactyla; Bovidae. The record is from RNAcentral.
CUUAUUUGGGGAUAAUCACCAUUUGUUCUCUGUUGGACGACUUGUUUCAAGAUAAUUAGAGCUUCACUUUCAAGACUUGAAACAGCCUCUUCUGUUUUCUCUUGUCCCCGCCAGCCCUAGAGCUGACUCUCACGGGUGCUACAGCGAAGCACGCGAUGUGGGGAGAUGCACGCCAGGCCAAUGCCUUACCAAGAGCUGUCAGAACAACUGCCACGUACACAGCCUUUAACACCGGGCACGAGUGGCCCAGAUGGCAGAUCUUCUAGAGCUUUGUUUCCUGACCUCUGAACCAGGUGGAAGGCAGAAACGGGGAGGAGACAGAGAAACAGUCUUUCUGUGCCACUUUGUCGGUCUUCAAAGAGCUGGAAGCUGCCGCGGAGGUCCAAACCAGUGUCAUCAGAUCGGGACUGAAUCUAAGAAAGUCGUAUGACCUUAGCAAGUUAUCGAACCAGUUACCUACCUCACCAGUUAGUCAGCCAAAUUCACAGCAGUUUAAGAGGCCUCAUCCUCCACCUCUCCCCUGGAAAAUGAAGCAAGGACAGAAUGAGAGCAAGAGGCUGAAGGAACAUGAAAACAUCAGAAAGCAAAUGUAUGUGGCAUGCUAAAUGCUACUAGGAGAGAGGUUUCCCAUUAUUUCUGCUUAUCUUGGUGGAAUCUGUUUUCAUAAUAAAAAAUAUAAUCAAGAAUGAC